CGGUGUAGGAGUGAAAUCCGUAGAUAUCGCCAGGAACACCAAUGGCGAAGGCAGCUUACUGGGCCAUUUCUGACGCUAAGGCACGAAAGCGUGGGGAGCGAACCGGAUAAGAUACCCGGGUAGUUCACGCCGUAAACGAUGGAUGCUAGCUGCUUGAGCGUAUCGACCCGCUUGGGUAGCGAAGCUAACGCGUUAAGCAUCCCGCCUGGGGAGUACGGCCGCAAGGCUAAAACUCAAAGGAAUUGACGGGGACCCGCACAAGCGGUGGAGCGUGUGGUUUAAUUCGACGCCACGCGAAGAACCUUACCAAGGCUUGACAUCCUGCGAAGUUUGUCGAAAGACAGAUGUGCCUUUUGGAACGCAGUGACAGGUGAUGCAUGGCCGUCGUCAGCUCGUGUCGUGAGAUGUUGGGUUAAGUCCCUUAACGAGCGCAACCCUUGUCGCAAGUUGUAUUUAUCUUGCGAGACUGCCUCGGCAACGGGGAGGAAGGAGGGGUCGAAGUCAGGUCAGCAUGUCCCUUACGCCUUGGGCUACACACACGCUACAAUGGCCGGUACAAUGGGCAGCUAAGCCGCGAGGCGGAGCUAAUCCCACCAAAACCGGUCUCAGUUCGGAUUGCAGGCUGCAACUCGCCUGCAUGAAGCUGGAAUCGCUAGUAACUGCAGGUCAGCACAUGCGGUGAAUACGUUC
RNAcentral lists this ribosomal RNA (690 nucleotides) under uncultured archaeon. RNAcentral describes it as "bacterial SSU rRNA". It matches the Rfam family "Bacterial small subunit ribosomal RNA", at positions 671 to 1373 of the family's 1533-position model. The record is from RNAcentral.